RNAcentral lists this ribosomal RNA (346 nucleotides) under uncultured bacterium. RNAcentral describes it as "bacterial SSU rRNA". It matches the Rfam family "Bacterial small subunit ribosomal RNA", at positions 28 to 371 of the family's 1533-position model. The record is from RNAcentral.
GAUGAACGCUAGCGGCAGGCUUAAUACAUGCAAGUCGGAGGGGCAGCACGGUUAGCAAUAACUGGUGGCGACCGGCGCACGGGUGCGUAACACGUAUACAAUCUACCUUAAACGAGGGGAUAGCCUUUCGAAAGAGAGAUUAAUACCCCGUAAUAAAUUGAACGGCAUCGUUUGAUUUUGAAAGCUCCGGCGGUUUGAGAUGAGUAUGCGUCUGAUUAGCUAGUUGGUGAGGUAACGGCUCACCAAGGCGACGAUCAGUAGGGGAUCUGAGAGGACUAACCCCCACACUGGUACUGAGACACGGACCAGACUCCUACGGGAGGCAGCAGUAAGGAAUAUUGGUCAA